Molecule: non-coding RNA, 2525 nt
Organism: Struthio camelus australis
Lineage: Eukaryota; Metazoa; Chordata; Aves; Struthioniformes; Struthionidae
Source: RefSeq, a predicted model, not a curated record
AGCAGCAGCAGGGUGACGCUGUCACCAUGAGUAGCAGCACGAGGGAGGACAUGCUGAAAUCCUGGAGCCUGGCAAGUACUCGCUGGGAUGUGAGGCAGGAGGGCUAAAGAGCAUGUUGCCUUCCUGCCAUAGAAUAAAGCUUCUUAGCGUCUUUACCUUUGUGCUAUUAAAAUUGCUCAGGCACCGUAGAAACAAUCAAAAUGUAACCAGAGGAGCUGAACAUUAGCAAGAUAUUAAAUAAAUAAAUACGAAUCAAAUAAGAAGAAGGAGACAACGACCUGCUGUCAAAGCGUGAAGGACAAAUUGCUUGCUUCUUCCAAGGGAUCUGCUGAGAGGUGGGAACCGGUAGAAGCCAUCUGAGGCCUUGAAAAUUCAAAGUGAAAAGAGAAGAACCACUCCUGCAGAAGACAUUUCGUCAUUGGGUAUCCACAAUACUCUGAAAUACCCCCUCCACUGAGGAAAUAAAUCUACAUACAUAAGCACUGACAAGACACAGGUAUACAUUAUGGAUAACAUCUAUCUUACCACCUUCUUCCACUUCCUGAAGCAAUUUGGAAGUUUCUACAAGAAGAAAUCUUUUGAGACCAUGGAAAAUAAGUGGAUAUUCUGCCUCAUUCAUCUUCUAUUUGUUUAUUUUGGAGGUCACAACAGAGCAGUGUGCAGUGGACCAAAAACUGGAUGUUUACAACGGAUCUUGGGGAAUGAAAGAAGUUAUACCAUAACUGCCUGCACUCCAGGAGGCAGAGAUAACAUAUAGCUGCUGAAAGGGAAAAUAAUGUAGCAGUCCCAAAUGACUUCCAACAAGUUAUGUUCCAUCUUACUAGUGUUCUGGUAAAGAAGGAAAAAAUAUUUUAUUUCCUCCCCCUUUACCAUGGGAGUAAUUUAUGAGGUUUUGAAAUUUUUUAUGUUCUGUCACUUUUGCUCUCCAUUCUUGUUUUCUUCCUUUUUUCCCCUAUGCCCUUAUAUUUGGGAGUACUUCUCACAUACAUUGUCACAGGUUUCAUAGUGAUUUGCCCAUCUACCCUUAAUUAGCUUCUCUAUUUUAUGUUUUUUAAACCAGGAGUUCAAAAACAGAAGUUGCUUAAAUGGUUUGAAGUUAUUUAACUCUCUGCUACUGGCUUGACUGGCUUUUCUUUAAUUCAAGAAAAAAACAAAUCAGAGUUCUGACCAUCGGUACAUUUUCCUCAUAUUAUACACUUUUAAAGAGAAAUAAAAUUCCACUUCACCGGAACAACAUUUUUUCCACAGAUUUUCAACAGAUUCAGAACAUAUAUCUCCCAGAGUGGCUGGACCGGAUGAAAUGUAGAGCUGUAUGAAGUGCUAAUGAACAGCAAACAUAAAAAGGAAAUUGGCAGCCAGUGAAAAUGAAAAAAAAGUUCAGUUAUAAAAAAAGCAGCACCAAUGUUUGUUCUUAGAUUUUUUUAGAAUCUGCCUAAAUUCUAGUGUUCUAUCCACAUUAUUAUUCCCAUUGCCUCCUCUUCAGCCGUGUUUUGCCUCCAAAGUGGCAUGAAAUGUGCCUAUGCAGCCUUCUCUUUCCACCUGCCACAGAAAAGAAAUCUUGCCUGGACAAGAUCUUUACUGUGUUCAAACAGAUCAGAAAAAAGCAGACUAGGCCUUGGGGGUUUGUCUCCUAAAGUAUCCCAGUAAGGUAGGUCACAAGACAAACCCGUUAAAUCUGCUCCGUGAGUUUCAAAUGAAUGCCUGAGAGGAUUACAAAAAUCUAAACCUCGAUUUAAAACAGCAACAACAACAAAGUCUAAACAAAAAAAAAAAAAAAACAAACCAACAGCGACAAAACAGGAAAAUAAAAUUCAUAGAUACGGAAGACUUUUUAUAGAGUAACUUAAUGGCCAAACUGUGGCUGAUGUAUAGCCAUACAAGACAAAACACAAUGAAAUAACAUAUUAAGACAAAGAUCAUACAGAAAUGUGAACUCAGUUGUAAUCUAGCUUGAUGUAAGAACUCAGCUGCAGCAGCAAGUUUAAAAUCAUCAUGCAUCCCACUGGACAUGGUGUAGCGCUCUGACUCUUGAGCUACAGAUGAGUCACAGAACUUGUGCCAGAAAAUAAAGUCAGUGAGAUAAAAGCUGGACUGAUAUAGAAUUUUUUUGUCCUUGUGCUGGUUCUAUUAUUUGUUUUCUACUGUUCUUACUUUGUUGCCAGGAUAAUUCAAUCCAAUUUAAAGUAACUCCUGUAGUAAGUCCAGUUAUUUUACAGAAAUUAUGAGAUUGCUCAGAGAAGUAGGUACUUCUCAAUGUAAACUGACUACAGCAACAGACCUUAAUGUGUUAACAUGAAUCUACUUCUAUCCUAAUAGAGUUAUAGUACAGUGCUAAUAUGUUAAUGGAAAAAGUAUAAUCAUAAGCAAAAUCCACUGACAUUUGUUUAAAGCACAGUCUAGGAAAAUAAAGAAAGGAAAAUAAAGAAAUGGGUUCUUAAGCUCUUACAUAAAUGAGUAUAACACGGUUUGCAUUCAGCAAUAAAUCACAUGUUCUAUAGGGACCCCCUCCAUCCCAUAUAUUGACA